Molecule: ribosomal RNA, 483 nt
Filed under: uncultured bacterium
Lineage: Bacteria
Description: partial 16S ribosomal RNA
Rfam family: Bacterial small subunit ribosomal RNA
Source: RNAcentral
AUUGAACGCUGGCGGCAGGCCUAACACAUGCCAGUCGAGCGGAUGAAGGGAGCUUGCUCCUGGAUUCAGCGGCGGACGGGUGAGUAAUGCCUAGGAAUCUGCCUGGUAGUGGGGGAUAACGUCCGGAAACGGGCGCUAAUACCGCAUACGUCCUGAGGGAGAAAGUGGGGGAUCUUCGGACCUCACGCUAUCAGAUGAGCCUAGGUCGGAUUAGCUAGUUGGUGGGGUAAAGGCCUACCAAGGCGACGAUCCGUAACUGGUCUGAGAGGAUGAUCAGUCACACUGGAACUGAGAACCGGUCCGAACCCCUACGGGGGGCAGAGGUGGGGAAUUUGGGAAAAGGGGCGAAAGCCUGACCCAGCCAUGCCGGGGGGGUGAAGAAGGUCUCCGGUUUAAAAAGCACUUUAAGUUGGGAGGAAGGGAAGUAAGUUAAUACCUUGCUGUUUUGCCGUUACCAAAAGAAUAAGCCCCGGCUAACUUCGG